AAAAGCCUGUGGGGGGAAUGAAAUUAUAUUUUAAGUGAAUGUCAAAGUACCACAACUUUCAUGCUGUAUGUUUUUUUUAACUGACAGUCGGACAGAUUCCAUAAGUUUUGCUCUCAUGUCUUUGUUUUCUGUGCAGAUUGGCCGUGGCUUCUUCUGGAGGGUUACACCCACUCGCCUGGGAUCCUCCAUGGAGCAGUGCACAGCUGUCUGAACUCUGAGUUCAUUAGUUUGAACUCUAUGUAAAUACCUCCGUUUCAGUACUCCAGUGUCUUUUCAUUUCUCUGCACUGUGCUGAGGAGGAAUGCUCCACCUGGAUCUGGGAUGGAACUUCAUGGGCGCCUCUUCUCCUCAACAAAUCAGACUCCGUAUUCCAGUACUUCAUGACGAGUAACGCAGGGUACGUCCGAAGUGGUUUGAUGGGCAGAACUAAGCGCCCGGGUUUGGCUGAGAGGGACAUAAGAGCAGGCGUGUUUCCACGUCUUCGACCAAACUACGCCUCACUGGGCAGCCGCAUCCCAGCUUCUUCAGCUCAACUUCAUCCCCUCAACUUCCACAUCUUCUCCUGGGCCUGUGUGCUGGGGCUUCGGAUUAACUCUAUAAACGGGUCAACGAUUCACAAAGUGUCAGCUAAGACAGAACCGGUUAAAGUAACUCUAUCCGACAACCAGACUGACCUUGUAUGAUACUUCCUUGUUUUGGGGUAUUUCAUAGGUUUCUAAACACUCCCCCCGAACAUUGACUGGGUUUCAGGAAGAGUGCUGUCCUGGAGCACUUUUUUUGUUUAAUGAACUGUUUAAAUGUUUCUGUUUCUUGCACCCUAAACAGACCUCUGGACCCGUGUGACCCAGUGUGAGGACUUGCUGUCCGCUUUUAGUCCAAGGAGGAAAAAAAUUCUAAUAAUAAUAAAAUUAAGAGAAUUGUUGUAGUAAAUAAGAAGAAUACCAUAAAGUUCAAGAGGAUAACAAUCAGAUUCUCCUCCAUGUUCAAUUUGGACUCCAACCACUGAUCGCAUUUACACAUCUUGGGCCAAAGCUGAGUAACUAAUUGGUUGAUGCAAUAAAUCUCCUUUCCCAAAGUUCAAAGGUGAAUUUCGAAAGAACUCCUACUGCUCUGCAGAAACUAUAUCCUAGAAGUCGACUACGGUUUUUUUGGAUUUUGGCUAAAAUCCUAAAUAAAAGACUACUUUAAGAAUCAAUCAAAAUAUGAUUGG
Long non-coding RNA from Oryzias melastigma (Indian medaka), 1210 nucleotides. RefSeq lists it as uncharacterized. Lineage: Eukaryota; Metazoa; Chordata; Actinopteri; Beloniformes; Adrianichthyidae. The record is from RefSeq and is a predicted model, not a curated record. The transcript is spliced from 4 exons.